GCCCAGACUCCUACGGGAGGCAGCAGUGGGGAAUAUUGGGCAAUGGGCGCAAGCCUGACCCAGCAACGCCGCGUGAAGGAAGAAGGCUUUCGGGUUGUAAACUUCUUUUGUCAGGGACGAAGCAAGUGACGGUACCUGACGAAUAAGCCACGGCUAACUACGUGCCAGCAGCCGCGGUAAUACGUAGGCGGCCAGCGUUAUCCGGAUUUACUGGGUGUAAAGGGGGUGUAGGCGGGACUGCAAGUCAGAUGUGAAAUCCACGGGCUCAACCUGGGGCCUGCAUUUGAAACUGUAGUCCUUGAGUGCUGGAGAGGCAGACGGAAUUCCUAGUGUAGCGGUGAAAUGCGUAGAUAUUAGGAGGAACACCAGUGGCGAAGGCGGUCUGCUGGACAGCAACUGACGCUGAGGCGCGAAAGCGUGGGGAGCAAACAGGAUUAGAUACCCCUGUA
RNAcentral lists this ribosomal RNA (449 nucleotides) under uncultured bacterium. RNAcentral's name for it is "partial 16S ribosomal RNA". It matches the Rfam family "Bacterial small subunit ribosomal RNA", at positions 329 to 792 of the family's 1533-position model. The record is from RNAcentral.